Molecule: transfer RNA, 72 nt
Filed under: Ovis aries (sheep)
Lineage: Eukaryota; Metazoa; Chordata; Mammalia; Artiodactyla; Bovidae
Rfam family: tRNA
About the family: Transfer RNA (tRNA) molecules are approximately 80 nucleotides in length. Their secondary structure includes four short double-helical elements and three loops (D, anti-codon, and T loops).
Source: Rfam by way of RNAcentral
UCCCUGGUGGCUCAGAGGGUAAAGCGUCUGCCUGCAAUGCAGGAGACCUGGGUUCGAUCCUGGGUCAGGAAG